UACGUAGGGACCGAGCGUUGUCCGGAAUCAUUGGGCGUAAAGAGCGUGUAGGCGGCCUUUUAAGUCCUGCGUGAAAUCCUGCGGCUCAACCGCAGACGGUCGUGGGAAACUGGAAGGCUAGAGUGCGGGAGAGGAGAGUGGAAUUCCCGGUGUAGCGGUGAAAUGCGCAGAUAUCAGGAGGAACACCGGUGGCGAAGGCGGGUCUCUGGGCCGUAACUGACGCUGAGGAGCGAAAGCAUGGGGAGCGAACAGG
This 253-nucleotide ribosomal RNA is filed under the name uncultured bacterium. RNAcentral describes it as "partial 16S ribosomal RNA". It matches the Rfam family "Bacterial small subunit ribosomal RNA", at positions 524 to 776 of the family's 1533-position model. The record is from RNAcentral.